AGAGCGAACGCUGGCGGCAGGCCUAACACAUGCAAGUCGAGCGGCCGUAGCAAUACGGCAGCGGCAGACGGGAGAGUAACACGUGGGAACGCGCCCUUCGGUUCGGAAUAACUCAGGGAAACUUGGGCUAAUACCGGAUACGCCCUUACGGGGAAAGAUUUAUUGCCGAAGGAACGGCCCGCGUCCGAUUAGCUUGUUGGUGAGGUAACGGCUCACCAAGGCGACGAUCGGUAGCUGGUCUGAGAGGAUGACCAGCCUCACUGGGACUGAGACACGGCCCAGACUCCUACGGGAGGCAGCAGUGGGGAAUAUUGGACAAUGGGCGCAAGCCUGAUCCAGCCAUGCCGCGUGGGUGAUGAAGGCCCUAGGGUUGUAAAGCCCUUUCGGCGGGAAGAUAAUGACGGUACCCGCAGAAGAAGCCCGGCUAACUUCGUGCCAGCAGCCGC
Molecule: ribosomal RNA, 446 nt
Filed under: uncultured bacterium
Lineage: Bacteria
Description: SSU rRNA
Rfam family: Bacterial small subunit ribosomal RNA
Source: RNAcentral